This 390-nucleotide ribosomal RNA is filed under the name uncultured bacterium. Its description in RNAcentral is "bacterial SSU rRNA". It matches the Rfam family "Bacterial small subunit ribosomal RNA", at positions 29 to 420 of the family's 1533-position model. The record is from RNAcentral.
AUUAAACGCUGGCGGCAUGCCUUACACAUGCAAGUCGAACGGCAGCACGGGGGCAACCCUGGUGGCGAGUGGCGGACGGGUGAGUAACACAUCGGAACGUGCCCUGGAGUGGGGGAUAACGCAGCGAAAGCUACGCUAAUACCGCAUAUUCUGUGAGCAGGAAAGCAGGGGAUCGCAAGACCUUGCGCUUUGGGAGCGGCCGAUGUCGGAUUAGCUAGUUGGUGGGGUAAAGGCUUACCAAGGCGACGAUCCGUAGCGGGUCUGAGAGGAUGAUCCGCCACACUGGGACUGAGACACGGCCCAGACUCCUACGGGAGGCAGCAGUGGGGAAUUUUGGACAAUGGGCGGAAGCCUGAUCCAGCCAUGCCGCGUGAGUGAAGAAGGCCUCGG